RNAcentral lists this ribosomal RNA (414 nucleotides) under uncultured microorganism. RNAcentral's name for it is "bacterial SSU rRNA". It matches the Rfam family "Archaeal small subunit ribosomal RNA", at positions 459 to 872 of the family's 1478-position model. The record is from RNAcentral.
UAGCCGCCGCGGUAAUACCGGCGGCCCGAGUGGCGGCCACUAUUAUUGGGCUUAAAGCGUCCGUAGCCGGGUUGGUUAGUCUCCCGGGAAAUCUGGCCGCUUAACGGUCAGAAUUCCGGGAGAUACUGCCAGCCUAGGGACCGGGAGAGGCCGAGGGUAUUCCCGGAGUAGGGGUGAAAUCCUAUAAUCCCGGGAGGACCACCUGUGGCGAAGGCGCCCGGCUGGAACGGGUCCGACGGUGAGGGACGAAGGCCAGGGGAGCAAACCGGAUUAGAUACCCGGGUAGUCCUGGCUGUAAACGAUGCGGGCUAGGUGUCGGGUGAGCUUCGGGCUCGCCCGGUGCCGUAGGGAAGCCGUUAAGCCCGCCGCCUGGGGAGUACGGCCGCAAGGCUGAAACUUAAAGGAAUUGGCGGG